UUGAGCUUUGUGUUCUGCUAAAACAGAGGAUUAAGACAGAACAGCAUAAUAUAGAAUGAUUCCCACACUAAAAUCAUUGGUGUCAAAUGCACUUAUGCCUAGAAAUAGUGUUUCUUUAAAUAUACUUAAGUGGUGUGGGCUAAUAUUAUCUCUUGCUUCCUCAUAAACCCAUAUGCUGAUUUGAAAAAGAAGUGACCUGCAAGUAAGGUCUCUGUCAACUUAAUCAAUCUUAUUUUGAUCCCAAAACGUGUCUUCUUCACUUCCUGAAAAGGAAUAUGUUUCCUAAUUUGACAACGUGAUGAGCUAGAACUAUUUAAGGCAUGGAGAAAAACAAGAAGGCAUCAUGGAGACACUAACAGACCAGGCAGGAUGUCUUCAUGGCUUCAGAAUUAGAGUAACCACUCUUCCAUGUUGCUUAUCUGUGGCUCUACUGGGGAGACUCUACAGUUUCUGUGAAAAGAGGACAUCUACAGGGAACAUUUCACACCUCAGCAUGAGUGGGCCUGGGAUCUUUAGAUAUCUCAUUUUGCUGCCAUGUCAGAGGAAGAAGAUAACUUGGGAUUUUACUUGCAGAGAGGUCGUUGCUUCUUCCUAAAAUGGACUCUAACAUCAUUUGUUACUUUAUGAUUUUCUGUCAGUCCUCAGCUUAGUGUAUAAAGUUCAAGCAGUGAUUAAGCUUAUAAACAAGAUGGGCAGCUGUAUGAAAAAUAUCUUACCUGUGCUGGUGUGGAGGAGAGGGCAGCUUGUUUUGAUAACUGUUGAUUACACUGAAUUGCACUGAUGUACCCCAAGGCAUAUGUGGGACUUCAUUUUUGUAUCAUUCAAAAGAGGUUGAGUUACCCUGAAGAACAGCUAAUUUUAAUGUGAUAUAUAGAACUAAAUAAUAUUCCCUUAAUGACACAUAGUUUUUACAGUUAUUUAGUUAUCAGGAAAAAAAAUGUAAAGGAAUAGCAGAACAGUUUCCACUUCAUUCUAACCUGGAUACAUUUAUAUGUAAAGCUGUUAUUUGUGCCUAUCUUGAGCAGCUGUUGAGUCAUUUUCAGAACCACAAGCUGUGAGUAAUGGGUGUCUAAGAUCAGAAUCACUGUGCCUCUUCUUUCCCUCACUUGUGUUUCCUUUAGCCAAAGGUAAAUUUAUUUAUUUUGUUGAACUAUUUGAUGAGUGGCAAGCUAACUCAUUUCUGUAAGUGACUAUUUUUCCUUACGUGUGGAUUUUAAUAUUUUAAUCUCCUUAUUUGGAAGUCUCCCACUUGAUUAAUGCAUCUGAUUAUUACUAUGAGAGAACUAUCUUUGCUCCAACCCAUCAUUUAUGAAGAAUAUUCCCGAGAAACCUCAGCUUUUCAGUUAUGGCAAGCUGUCCAGCUUCUAUGACUUAUUGCUAACUGAAUACUUCUGCUGGGGUGACACGAAGAAAUAAACCUCAAACCUUCAAAAGGAGUAAAUUAUUU
Molecule: long non-coding RNA, 1447 nt
Filed under: Numida meleagris (helmeted guineafowl)
Lineage: Eukaryota; Metazoa; Chordata; Aves; Galliformes; Numididae
Description: lncRNA (ENSNMEG00000001645.1)
Source: RNAcentral